UGGGGAAUAUUGGACAAUGGGCGCAAGCCUGAUCCAGCCAUGCCGCGUGAGUGAAGAAGGCCCUAGGGUUGUAAAGCUCUUUCACCCGCGAAGAUGAUGACGGUAGCGGGAGAAGAAGCCCCGGCUAACUCCGUGCCAGCAGCCGCGGUAAUACGGAGGGGGCUAGCGUUGUUCGGAAUUACUGGGCGUAAAGGGCGCGUAGGCGGUCUGUUGCGUCAGGUGUGAAAGCCCCGGGCUCAACCUGGGAGGUGCACUUGAUACGGGCGGGCUAGAAUCCGGGAGAGGAUGGUGGAAUUCCCAGUGUAGAGGUGAAAUUCGUAGAUAUUCGGAGGAACACCAGUGGCGAAGGCGGCUCACUGGCUCGAUACUGACGCUGAGGUGCGAAAGUGUGGGGAGCAAACAGGAUUAGAUACCCGCGUAGUCC
This 424-nucleotide ribosomal RNA is filed under the name uncultured prokaryote. Its description in RNAcentral is "bacterial SSU rRNA". It matches the Rfam family "Bacterial small subunit ribosomal RNA", at positions 355 to 796 of the family's 1533-position model. The record is from RNAcentral.